Molecule: transfer RNA, 76 nt
Filed under: Neobittarella massiliensis (ex Bilen et al. 2018)
Lineage: Bacteria; Bacillati; Bacillota; Clostridia; Eubacteriales; Oscillospiraceae
Also listed under: 1 other name
Description: tRNA-Lys
Rfam family: tRNA
About the family: Transfer RNA (tRNA) molecules are approximately 80 nucleotides in length. Their secondary structure includes four short double-helical elements and three loops (D, anti-codon, and T loops).
Source: RNAcentral
GAAUCACUAGCUCAGUUGGCAGAGCAUCUGACUUUUAAUCAGAGGGUCCGGGGUUCGAGUCCCCGGUGGUUCACCA